Molecule: long non-coding RNA, 1154 nt
Organism: Syzygium oleosum
Lineage: Eukaryota; Viridiplantae; Streptophyta; Magnoliopsida; Myrtales; Myrtaceae
Exons: 3
Source: RefSeq, a predicted model, not a curated record
GACAUACUAAAGGCUCGUGACUAUGUCAAAGUGAAGAUUGAGCUGGCCUACUAGGUUGUUUUGAAAUGGCUUGUAUACUUUGGGAACACAAUGUUUCUCUUAUCAAUGAUUUGGUUGGAUUGCACUCUUAGGGGAAUCGAUUCUUUCCUACAUAUGGGGACUACAUCUUUCUUUUCUAUCAUAUGGUGUGGAAUUUUCUCAGCUAUCGCUAUGGUCGGCAUGGUAAAGUUUCUUGUGGUCUCGGUAAGUCACUCAUCACUUUUUUCCUUUUAGGUCGAAAAGUCACUCGUCACUUCACAAGCUAUUUUUAUUGACUUCCUAUUGUAUUGCUGGUUCAAGUUAUCCUUUCCCAUCCUGACAUGACCUGUUACCCUGGAUCCAUUCAUGUUUGUAUGUCAAUAUUUCAUCCUGAACUGAGCUUAUAAAUAUGUGCAACUCCUCCUUCCUGUCAAAGUAGAAGAAAUCAAAAUAAGCAUAGAGUAUUACCUGUUGUCACUUCCAAACUCCUUGGAGCCACACGGUAUUCUUGCUGGAUUUUAUCUAGUAAGAUACACAUCCUCUUUUGUCUAUGUUCCUAGAAUUCAUUCCUCAGUUGCUCUUUCUGAAAUGUUCAGAAUAACUCUAUUAAGCACACUUUGCUUCUGCUGCAUUCCUUUUUACUGACUGAAGUUUGCAUUCAUUCAGGUGCAAUGAUGUUCUUGUGGGUAUUUUUGUGGGGUUUGCCGCUGCACUUUUGCUGCUUGCACUUUGUGGCACUGUCUUCUUGUGGUUUUAUGGAAGUUUUUGGACAACAGCUCUUGUAAUCAUCCUUGCAGGUAUAUCAUUCACAUUGAGCCAUGAACGCCUUGCACUUUUCAUAUCCUCACAAUCUAUGCCAAGAACAGCUUUGAGCAAUUCUGCAUAAGUUAUGCAAAUGAGAGGUUGCAAACAACAUUUCAACCGGCAUUUAUUAAAACUGGAGCAGGAAGUGAGCAUCUCACAUGGACCGUGUCUUUAGUUUUGUUCAGUAUUUAUAUGAUGGGUAUUGUCGCUAAAAGCAGGAUAUUCUUUUUUGAUUUAUUUCUGUCGUCAUUAUUUAUUGUGCAAAGAUUAGUUAUUGUGCAAGAUUAUUUAUUCUCUCAUUAUGUGUACUAUAAAGAAAAAUAUUUAUGUCA